CCUACGGGUGGCAGCAGUGAGGAAUAUUGGUCAAUGGCCGGAAGGCUGAACCAGCCAUGCCGCGUGAAGGUCAGUGCCCUAUGGGCGUUAAACUUCUUUUGUGCGGGAGCAAUAAUGGUCACGUGUGGCCAGACGAGAGUACCGUACGAAUAAGCAUCGGCUAACUCCGUGCAAGCAGCCGCGGUCAUACGGGGGUUGCAAGCGUUAUGCGGAUUGAUUGGGGAUAAGGGUUGCGUAGGCUGGGAGGUAAGUCAGCGGUGAAAUGCCCACGCUCAACGGGGUGAAGUGCCAUUGAUACUUCUUUGCUGGAAUGCGGAUGCCGUGCGAGGAAUGUGGGGUGUAGCGGUGACAUGCAUAGAUAUCACACAGAACCCCGAUUGCGAAGGCAUCUCACGAAUCCGCGAUUGACGCUGAUGCACGAAAGCGUGGGUAUCAAACAGGAGUAGAUACCCCGGUAGUC
RNAcentral lists this ribosomal RNA (460 nucleotides) under uncultured bacterium. RNAcentral's name for it is "partial 16S ribosomal RNA". It matches the Rfam family "Bacterial small subunit ribosomal RNA", at positions 338 to 795 of the family's 1533-position model. The record is from RNAcentral.